This 636-nucleotide long non-coding RNA is filed under the name Brassica rapa (field mustard). Its description in RNAcentral is "long non-coding RNA (BRAP_LNC006073)". The record is from RNAcentral. Lineage: Eukaryota; Viridiplantae; Streptophyta; Magnoliopsida; Brassicales; Brassicaceae.
CACCUGAACUUUGUGUUUCCAAAUUCUUUUGGCCUAUGCCUAAGUUCCCUCCUUUUAAGGGAUUUGAUCAUCCUUUCCCUUUACCUCCACCUUUGGAGCUUCCACCGUUUCCUAAACCAUGCCCACCACCUCCGGUUCCGGUGUACGAGCCACCCCCAAAGGUGGAACUUCCACCACCUGUCCCGGUUCACGAGCCACCCCCAAAGGUAGAGGUUCCACCACCCGUCCCGGUUCACGACCCACCGCCAAAGGUGGAGCACCCACCUCCGGUUCCGGUUUACAAGCCACCUCCAAAGGUAGAGCACCCACCUCCAGUUCCGGUUUACAAGCCGCCUCCAAAGGUAGAGCACCCACCUCCGGUUCCGGUUUACAAGCCACCUCCAAAGGUAGAGCACCCACCUCCGGUUCCAGUACACAAGCCACCAACAAUCCCUAAGAAGCCAUGCCCGCCUAAGUCGCCGAAGAUUGAGCUUCCACCGCCAGUGCCAGUUCACAAACCACCGACUAAGAAGCCUUGUCCGCCCAUGCCACCAAAGAAAGUUGAUCCGCCACCGGUUCCAGUCCACAAGCCGCCGCCGAAAAUAGUCCUUCCACCGCCGGUACCAAUCCACAAGCCGCCAAAGAAGCCGUGCCCGC